AUCCAUCUGACGAGUCCCGAAUAGGACGAAACGCGCGUCGUGGAU
This 45-nucleotide non-coding RNA is filed under the name Schistosoma mansoni. The record is from RNAcentral. Lineage: Eukaryota; Metazoa; Platyhelminthes; Trematoda; Strigeidida; Schistosomatidae.